RNAcentral lists this transfer RNA (69 nucleotides) under Porphyromonas asaccharolytica. It matches the Rfam family "tRNA". From Rfam's summary of the family: Transfer RNA (tRNA) molecules are approximately 80 nucleotides in length. Lineage: Bacteria; Pseudomonadati; Bacteroidota; Bacteroidia; Bacteroidales; Porphyromonadaceae. RNAcentral also lists the same sequence under 2 other names. The record is from RNAcentral.
CGGAAAUAGCUCAGUUGGUAGAGCAUCAGCUUCCCAAGCUGAGGGUCGCGAGUUCGAGCCUCGUUUUCC